RNAcentral lists this ribosomal RNA (607 nucleotides) under Brevibacterium sp. Its description in RNAcentral is "bacterial SSU rRNA". It matches the Rfam family "Bacterial small subunit ribosomal RNA", at positions 84 to 701 of the family's 1533-position model. The record is from RNAcentral. Lineage: Bacteria; Bacillati; Actinomycetota; Actinomycetes; Micrococcales; Brevibacteriaceae.
AUGGUGGAUGAGUGGCGAACGGGUGAGUAACACGUGAGUAACCUACCCCCGACUUCGGGAUAAGCCCGGGAAACUGGGUCUAAUACCGGAUAUGACCUGCGCUCGCAUGAGUGUGGGUGGAAAGUUUUUUCGGUGGGGGAUGGGCUCGCGGCCUAUCAGUUUGUUGGUGAGGUAAUGGCUCACCAAGACGACGACGGGUAGCCGGCCUGAGAGGGCGACCGGCCACACUGGGACUGAGACACGGCCCAGACUCCUACGGGAGGCAGCAGUGGGGAAUAUUGCACAAUGGGGGAAACCCUGAUGCAGCGACGCAGCGUGCGGGAUGACGGCCUUCGGGUUGUAAACCGCUUUCAGCAGGGAAGAAGCCUCUUGGGGUGACGGUACCUGCAGAAGAAGUACCGGCUAACUACGUGCCAGCAGCCGCGGUAAUACGUAGGGUACGAGCGUUGUCCGGAAUUAUUGGGCGUAAAGAGCUCGUAGGUGGUUGGUCACGUCUGCUGUGGAAACGCAACGCUUAACGUUGCGCGUGCAGUGGGUACGGGCUGACUAGAGUGCAGUAGGGGAGUCUGGAAUUCCUGGUGUAGCGGUGAAAUGCGCAGAUAUCAGG